CAGCCGCCGCGGUAAUACGAAGGGGGCUAGCGUUGCUCGGAAUUACUGGGCGUAAAGGGCGCGUAGGCGGCGCUCCAAGUUAGGCGUGAAAUUCCCGGGCUCAACCUGGGGACUGCGCUUAAGACUGGAGUGCUUGAGGAUGGAAGAGGGUUGUGGAAUUCCCAGUGUAGAGGUGAAAUUCGUAGAUAUUGGGAAGAACACCGGUGGCGAAGGCGGCAACCUGGUCCAUUACUGACGCUGAGGCGCGAUAGCGUGGGGAGCAAACAGGAUUAGAUACCCCGGUAGUCCUGUCUCUUAUACA
This 301-nucleotide ribosomal RNA is filed under the name uncultured bacterium. RNAcentral describes it as "partial 16S ribosomal RNA". It matches the Rfam family "Bacterial small subunit ribosomal RNA", at positions 509 to 809 of the family's 1533-position model. The record is from RNAcentral.